CAAAAAUAUAAUCAAAACCAAGAGAGAAGAUAAAGACUGGAAAAAUUAAAUGCUACAGAGGAAUUUUCUAAAAGGGGACUCAAGCACCCGUGGAACCAGAUACAUGGAAAGAAUUGCUAUGCAACCACUGAUUCAUUAUAAGCAAAAAGAAAAGCAGAAGUGAAAAUGGAUGUAUUAAUGAUGGUCAAUUCAUACAGUGGAAUAGUCUACAGUAAUGAAAGUAAACAAGCUACAGAAAAAAAAGAAUAAAAAAAUCCUGGAGCUGGCUGGGAGCAAAGGGGUUUGCUGCUGAAACCUGAUAGCACAAAUGACCUGGUAGCAACAGGAAAGGAGAAAAAGUGAUUGGAGAAUAAUAC
Long non-coding RNA from Lemur catta (Ring-tailed lemur), 356 nucleotides. RefSeq lists it as uncharacterized. Lineage: Eukaryota; Metazoa; Chordata; Mammalia; Primates; Lemuridae. The record is from RefSeq and is a predicted model, not a curated record. The transcript has 3 exons.